UCCGACAUUGGGAUAUCAGAAACACACCCC
This 30-nucleotide non-coding RNA is filed under the name Mus musculus (house mouse). Lineage: Eukaryota; Metazoa; Chordata; Mammalia; Rodentia; Muridae. The record is from RNAcentral.